This is a non-coding RNA of Pseudomonas sp. 1 R 17, 121 nucleotides long. NCBI's taxonomy places the organism in Bacteria, Pseudomonadati, Pseudomonadota, Gammaproteobacteria, Pseudomonadales, Pseudomonadaceae. The record is from Rfam.
ACGCUGGCCGAACGCAGGCUUGAAUCCGUGGGUAACCCGGCAGGACGCCGGGUUAGCCGUCCUGGGCCAAGGAUGGCCCAUGACGGCGGCCCACGGAUUCAAGCCUGCGUUCGGGCAUACC